Molecule: ribosomal RNA, 253 nt
Filed under: uncultured bacterium
Lineage: Bacteria
Description: partial 16S ribosomal RNA
Rfam family: Bacterial small subunit ribosomal RNA
Source: RNAcentral
UACAGAGGUGGCAAGCGUUGUUCGGAAUUACUGGGCAUAAAGCGCGUGUAGGCGGCUCUUCAAGUCAGGCGUGAAAGCCCCGGGCUCAACUCGGGAACUGCGCUUGAUACUGUCGAGCUAGAGUGUGGAAGGGGCGAUUGGAAUUCCGUGUGUAGCGGUGAAAUGCGUAGAUAUACGGAGGAACACCAGAGGCGAAGGCGGAUCGCUGGGCCAACACUGACGCUGAGACGCGAAAGCUAGGGUAGCAAACGGG